AACGAACGCUGGCGGCAUGCCUAACACAUGCAAGUCGAACGGGAUCCUAGCUUGCUAGGUGAGAGUGGCGGACGGGUGAGUAACACGUGGGAAUCUGCCUUUUGGUUCGGGAUAACCGCGGGAAACUGCGGCUAAUACCGAAUGCCCUCGAGAGAGGAAAGAUUUAUCGCCAGAAGAGGAGCCCGCGUCCGAUUAGGUAGUUGGUGGGGUAAAGGCCUACCAAGCCGACGAUCGGUAGCUGGUCUGAGAGGAUGAUCAGCCACACUGGGACUGAGAUACGGCCCAGACGCCUACGGGAGGCAGCAGUGGGGAAUAUUGGACAAUGGGGGCAACCCUGAUCCAGCAAUGCCGCGUGAGUGAUGAAGGCCUUAGGGUUGUAAAGCUCUUUUGCCAGGGAAGAUGAUGACUGUACCUGGAGAAUAAGCCCCGGCUAACUUCGUGCCAGCAGCCGCGGUAAU
This 458-nucleotide ribosomal RNA is filed under the name uncultured bacterium. RNAcentral's name for it is "bacterial SSU rRNA". It matches the Rfam family "Bacterial small subunit ribosomal RNA", at positions 29 to 524 of the family's 1533-position model. The record is from RNAcentral.